UACAGAGGGUGCUAGCGUUGUUCGGAAUCAUUGGGCGUAAAGGGCGCGUAGGCGGCUCGGCACGUCCGUUGUGAAAUCGCUCGGCUCAACUGGGCGAGGUCAGCGGAUACGGUCGAGCUUGAGCCAGCUAGGGGGCAAUGGAAUUCCCGGUGUAGUGGUGGAAUGCGUAGAUAUCGGGAGGAACACCAGUGGCGAAGGCGGUUGCCUGGGGCUGUGCUGACGCUGAUGCGCGAAAGCGUGGGGAGCGAUCCGG
RNAcentral lists this ribosomal RNA (253 nucleotides) under uncultured bacterium. RNAcentral describes it as "partial 16S ribosomal RNA". It matches the Rfam family "Bacterial small subunit ribosomal RNA", at positions 524 to 776 of the family's 1533-position model. The record is from RNAcentral.